Molecule: ribosomal RNA, 162 nt
Filed under: uncultured bacterium
Lineage: Bacteria
Description: partial 16S ribosomal RNA
Rfam family: Bacterial small subunit ribosomal RNA
Source: RNAcentral
UAAUCGCAGAUCAGCAUGCUGCGGUGAAUACGUUCCCGGGCCUUGUACACACCGCCCGUCACACCAUGGGAGUCGGUAACACCCGAAGUCGGUAGCCUAACCGUAAGGAGGGCGCCGCCGAAGGUGGGAUUGAUGACUGGGGUGAAGUCGUAACAAGGUACC